RNAcentral lists this ribosomal RNA (410 nucleotides) under Escherichia coli. Its description in RNAcentral is "bacterial SSU rRNA". It matches the Rfam family "Bacterial small subunit ribosomal RNA", at positions 1116 to 1526 of the family's 1533-position model. Lineage: Bacteria; Pseudomonadati; Pseudomonadota; Gammaproteobacteria; Enterobacterales; Enterobacteriaceae. The record is from RNAcentral.
UGCCAGCGGUCCGGCCGGGAACUCAAAGGAGACUGCCAGUGAUAAACUGGAGGAAGGUGGGGAUGACGUCAAGUCAUCAUGGCCCUUACGACCAGGGCUACACACGUGCUACAAUGGCGCAUACAAAGAGAAGCGACCUCGCGAGAGCAAGCGGACCUCAUAAAGUGCGUCGUAGUCCGGAUUGGAGUCUGCAACUCGACUCCAUGAAGUCGGAAUCGCUAGUAAUCGUGGAUCAGAAUGCCACGGUGAAUACGUUCCCGGGCCUUGUACACACCGCCCGUCACACCAUGGGAGUGGGUUGCAAAAGAAGUAGGUAGCUUAACCUUCGGGAGGGCGCUUACCACUUUGUGAUUCAUGACUGGGGUGAAGUCGUAACAAGGUAACCGUAGGGGAACCUGCGGUUGGAUCAC